UGGGGAAUAUUGGACAAUGGGCGAAAGCCUGAUCCAGCCAUGCCGCGUGUGUGAAGAAGGUCUUCGGAUUGUAAAGCACUUUAAGUUGGGAGGAAGGGCAGUAAGCGAAUACCUUGCUGUUUUGACGUUACCGACAGAAUAAGCACCGGCUAACUCUGUGCCAGCAGCCGCGGUAAUACAGAGGGUGCAAGCGUUAAUCGGAUUUACUGGGCGUAAAGCGCGCGUAGGCGGCUAAUUAAGUCAAAUGUGAAAUCCCCGAGCUUAACUUGGGAAUUGCAUUCGAUACUGGUUAGCUAGAGUGUGGGAGAGGAUGGUAGAAUUCCAGGUGUAGCGGUGAAAUGCGUAGAGAUCUGGGGGAAUACCGAUGGCGAAGGCAGCCAUCUGGCCUAACACUGACGCUGAGGUGCGAAAGCAUGGGGAGCAAACAGG
RNAcentral lists this ribosomal RNA (429 nucleotides) under Pseudomonadota bacterium. RNAcentral describes it as "Proteobacteria bacterium partial 16S ribosomal RNA". It matches the Rfam family "Bacterial small subunit ribosomal RNA", at positions 355 to 776 of the family's 1533-position model. The record is from RNAcentral. Lineage: Bacteria; Pseudomonadati; Pseudomonadota.